GAGCAGCCGCCCCGUGCGGGCCUCCAGAGGUGUCUGAUCCUCACCAGCGGCACUGCUGGCGUUUUGAGCCAGACCAUUCUCUGUCAUGGAUGCUGUCCUGUGUGGAGCCUUGGGACCACCUCUCAGAUGGACCCCUGCCUGGAGACGGGGGCACUGGCCUCUUGAGGUCAGAACUGGAAAAACGGAAGGAAGAAGGAACUUUAACCCAGAGCAGUAAUGACUCCUGAGGUUGACCCCAUGAUGGCAACUGCUGGACAUUGAGGUAAACACAGGCGUCUACAGGCUGAACGAACCAAAGGUUUACAGUCAUGUGUCACUGAAUGACGGGGACACGUUCUGAGAAAUGUGUCAGGCCAUUUUGUCAUUGUGCGAACAUCACAGAGCACACUUACACGAACCAGAUGGUGCAGCCAACGACACACCCCGGCUCUAUGGUGCUCAUCUUAAGGGACCACCAUCUCGGAUGCGGUCCGUUGUUGACCGAAACGUCGUUAUGUGGCUUGUGGCAGUCCUCCCACAUCCGGGGAAUAGGUCCUUGUGCUCAGGACACAGUUUCCACACAGAAAGGUUUUCACAAAGGGCCACUUCCCAUCAACCCAGCAAUGAACAUGCUCUGGUCUGGACACCUGAGGUCUGGAACCCACAGGACGGACGGCAGAACAAUAGAGAUGCUGAUGUCGAGGACGUGUCAGCCGGGUUCGGAGAGUCGUUCCAAGAACCGGAAGAAUGCGCAAAAAAGCAUACUGGAAAGAGGAUCUCGCUGUUAAGAUAGACUUUGUUUUUGAGAACAGUUUUAGAUUUACGGGGAAAUGGAAAAGACAGCCCCCUCCCCCAGCUUCUCCCGUGACUGACGCCUUAACGCUAGGACGGGACCUUUGUCACAGUUCACGGAGCGGUGUUGAUGCAUUAUUCAGAUUCCCUUAGUUUUUACCUGACACCCUUUUUCUGGACCGUGAUCCCAUCCACGUCAUAUGAGUUGUCACGUCCCUUUAGGCCCCCUUUGCUGUGACCGUUUCUCUGACUCUCCCUGUUUCCGGUGACCUUGGCGGCGUGGAGCAGGGCUGUCGGGGUUUCACAGGCUGCGCCUCUGUUGGGAGAGUUUGUCUGAGGUUCCUCUCGUGGUUCCACUCGGUCCUGGGUCCUGGGUCGGGGGCUCUCAGAAGCAAAGUGACUUUUUACCCCAUCACAUCGAGGGCACGUGCGAUCAGUGUGACUCACAACGGAUGACGACCUUGGUCACCUGGCUCAGGUAGCCCUCCUCAGGUUUCCCCACCGUCCCGUCGCUCUCUCCUCUUUCCGUGCUGUCCUCCUUGGAAGUCACUCUGCCAGCCCCGACCUGAGCAGCAGGGAGCUAGGCUCCGCUAGAUAAACGACUUAGCGUUCUUCUGCACGGGACGUGUGUCCAUUCCUCCUAGAGUUAUUUAUUCAUUCUUUUCAUUGUGUCAGUGUGGACUCAUGGACAUUUAUUUUAUUUAUGCUUUGGGUUAUAAUUCAACACUUCUUUAUUUUUUAGUUUAAUUUUUUUUGAGGAAGAUUAGCCCUGAGCUAACAUCUGCUGUCAAUCCUCCUCUUUUUGCUGAGGAAGGCUGGCCCUGAGCUAACAUCCAUGCCCAUCUUCCUCUACUUUAUACGUGGGAUGCCUACCACAGCAUGGCUUGACGAGGAGUACCAUGUCUGCACCCGGGAUCCGAACCAGCGAACCCCGGGCCGCCAAACUGGAAUGUGUGCACUUAACCGCUAACGCCACCGGGCCGACCCCGAUACUUUAUUUUGCUACUCAAACUGUUCCAGCUUUGACCAUUGGGAGCUCUUCCAGCUGGCUCUCUUGCCCCUCUUCUGAGCACUUCCUGGCUCCGGGCACCACAGGCUGCUCAUUUCACAUGCCUCCUGCCCCAGUCUUAGAAUCAGCCACUUCUCCACGGAGCCCUGGCUCCUUUUUUUGGAAAAUGGUAUUAGAAACCAAGAUCUGGUGCCAGGCGUGCCCACUGCUAGUGGGAUGGCAUUUCCUUCGGGCCUUCUCAGCUGACAGAGCAAAGAAAUACACCUGUGUGUGUGCGCACCAACCCCCGUACAUGCACAUUGCUGAAGCCUUCUCUGCCUGCCCUACCCUCCACGGUGUCCACGUUCCCAGAAAUCCCAAGCCUGGACCAAGGGUCUCAAACUCGCAGCCCUGGGACUCGCUCUGUGUCACCUGCAGUGUUUCCUCAAAGUUUGAUCUGGUAGCUGGUGCUGAAGAGCAGGAGACCUCACCAAAAAUGUGGACGCCUGGUCUCUCCUACAAAUGUCGGAGGCUGGAGAGUCCGGGCUCAAAUUCCACCGGCGGGGUCAGCCCUGCGCUCAGCACACGGCAGGUGAUCGGCCGCGGUUGGCAGCUCGGACGGGCCGGGCGCACUCGGCUUGGGGCCCUGAACUCGGAGGCGGACAGGUCUGCUUUCCAGGGCCAGCCCUGCCCCUUCCUGCUGCAGGACCUGGAAAAAAUGCUUCUCCUCACUCAGCCUCAGUUUCCUCAUCUGGAAAAUGGGCUUAAAAUAAAACCUGCCUUGGGGGGUGGCUGUGAGGAUGAAGUGACCGACACAGGGGCGGGCCUGGACAGGUGCCAACACUUGGGGAAAUCUCUCCUCCUUUGUCUUGUUUUCUCUGCUCUGGUGCCUCUCAAUUCCAGAUGACCCCACUGUCCAUCUGUUCAUUCCACAAAUGCCUACUGUGUGCCAGACGCAAGCAGGACCCUGUGGCUGCCCUCAGAGGACUCCUCUUCCUGCUCUAGCUGCGGGAGAGACGGCUUCAUUCGCCCAUGCAUUUAUUUGCUCGUUCAUUCACUGGUGCAAAUGUGCAUUGAACACCUACUGUGUGCCAGGAGUGGUUCAGAACAUGUUGGAUAUAGCAGUGAACAGACAAAGUCCCUGCCAUCACGGAGCUGACAUUCUAGUGGUGGCAGACAGACGGUAAACGAAUGCAGUGUCAGGGAGCUGUGUGUUCUGUGAAGAAGAACCGUAGACUGGUGGAGGGACUGUGCGGGGUCCGGGAAGGCCUCUCCGUGAGCAGGGAGGGAGGGAGCCAUGGGGCCCAGCCUCUGAGGUAAGAGAAUUCCAGACAGAGGGAACAGCAGGUGUAAAGGCCCUGAGGCAGGCACAGGCCUGGCGUGUUGAGGGGCGGUGAGAAGGCCAGUAUGACCGGAGGAGAGUGAGUUAGAUACAUUUCCGUAAAGUUAGAAUUCCUCUCCUUCCUAUCCUCCUCUCCCUCCCCUCCGUCUGUCUCACUUUUUCGUUUUUUUACGAGUCUCUUAAUUUUGUAAUCCAAAUACACAGUGACAAUUUAUAAAAAUAGAAAUAAUAUCUGGGAAGCCCUUGGCAUGUCAUCAGUUUGCAGGAGCAGCCACUGCUAUUAUUAUCGUCUCUUCGUCUCAUUUCUGGCAGGAAUGAAUCACUUACUCCUAACGUUUCCUAAAGAGGCGGAGGGCCCCGGGUGCUUGUCCCACUGGAGCGUCUUUCUUCUUCUUCCUUUAUUCCAGCUUCAUUGAGACGUGACUGACACAGGAGCCUGUGUGAGUUUCAGGUGUGCACAUGUUGACUCGAUGCUCAUGCACAGGCAGGGCUGUGGGGCGGUGUCGGCGCGUCUGUGGCGAGGGGACGGUGUCCCUUCCUCCUCCCCUCGCCACCUCCCCUUUCUCUUCCAUCUGCAAACUCUCCAGCAGAAGGAAGCACCCAAAUUUGGGAAGUCUUGUCUCAGGCCACCGAGAGUGUGUGGGUUCUCUGGAGCCUGUGACACAGAGGCUGGGGGGCAGCUCGUGGUGGCCCAAAGAGGGCGGUUGGUGGCGUGCUGGAGAAGGAGUCUUCCUGUGGGCCCUGGUCCCCUGCAGUCCUCCUGCUUCUCCAGGGCAGAGCUGCCCGCUCCCUCCUGUCUCCCCACCUUCCCGGACGCUGCGGGGCCCACCCCAUCACCUGCCCUGACCCCUGCGGGCACCUCCCCUGGGGCUCCCUGCUUCCACCUCGGGCCCCUCAGUCAGUUCCCCACCUGCAGCCAGAGGAUCCCCUUAGAACCAAGUGAGACCAUGUCCCUCCCCAGCUCGGAGCCCUUUCGGGUCCCACCUGGCUCAGAGGCCCCUCGAGGUCCUAUAAGGCCUGCAGGGUGGGACCCUGUCACUGCUCUGGGCUCCUGUCCGCCCCACGCCCUGCCUCACCCUCCCUCUUGACUCCGGGUCACUGGCCUCCUGGCCGCUCCAUGAGGGACUCCCGCUGUCCCGCUGUCUCACCCCUCAUCUCCCGCUGAGCCCGGCCCCAGCAGCCUGGGCUGCCGCCCCUUCAGGAGCGGGGCCUCCUUGGCACCCGCUCGUGGCUCCCUGUCUUCACCCUCCAAGCCCUUAUCACUGUUUGGAGAAACACAUCCGUGGGUCUGCUUGCUGGAAAACACCUGUGCCCCCUCAGGGUGUCGGCCCCGGGAGAGUGGGCUGAGUCUGCGGGCCGUGCCCCAGUGCCUGGAACAGCAUUGGCACACGGUACCCAGUGGGUGCUCAGUGUGUGCUUGGCGAACGAGUGAGCAUCAGUGCUUUCAAAUCAGACCUUGGGAUCUUGGCAAGGUUCUUAAAUCCCAGAAGCGGCGAGUUCGAGACUUGGCGGCUCUGGGGCCCUGCCCGCCCAGGCUGGCUCUGUCUCUCCCUCUGUCUCCUUCUGUCUCCCCCUUUUGGGCUCUCCGUCUGUCUCUGUCUCGCUCCCCUCCCUCUGCCCGUCUCUGUCUCUCUGCUUCUGUCUCCCUCUCCUAUCUGCCUCUUCCUUCCUCUUCCCUCACUGCCCUCCUCUCCUCUUCUCUCUGUCUCUCCUCUGUCGUCCCCUCCCAGCCUCCGCGGGCAGUGGGGCCAGCUACUGCUGUGACUUUUCUGCCUCUCCUGCCGCCCCUGCCCCCCAAGGUCCCCCACCAAGUGUGACCGAGUGGGUCCUGCAAGGAGCAGGGAGGGGCCGGGGAGGCUGUGCUGGGCGUGGAACUCUGGGCAGCUUCUCCUGGCGUGACCCCUCAAAGUCGACGACCCCUCCGGGCCCCACUUUCCUUGUCUUCCCAAAGAGAAGCACAGCUCCUGGGACUUGCCAUGUUUCUCUGCCGAAUACUGACUGGCGGUGAAGCUCAGAGAAGAUUACGGGCUGGGAGCUUCACCAAGGCAAGCUCCCCGCGACAGAAGCUACCCUUGCCAGGAGCUGACCUGCGUGGGGCCAGGCUGGGCGUGUUUCCCGGUCAGGCCGCCAUCUGCCCUGGGCUCGGCACACAGGGCUCCUGCUGCCCAGCCAGGCCUCCCUUCAGAAAUGUGAACCUGCCAGGAUUCCUCCGGCCUCAGGGUCUUGGCAGGUGCUGUUCCCUCUGUUUGAGAUGCUCUUCCUUCUAUCUUGGCCUAGUUGAACGCCUACCUCUUAUUCCGAUUCUGGCUCAAACACCACCUUCUCCAAGAAGCCCUCCCUGAUGACAUCCCCACACGUCAGGUCACCUUGUUAACUGCUGUCUCUCGCUUACCAUGGUUGUAAUUGCUUUAUUUAUUUUAUUUAUUUGCCCUCAGCGCCCCCCACCCUCGGGCUUAGCUCCCCCCCCGAGGGAAGUUGGGAGGCCCAAGCCGUUGAGUCAGCAAAGUUCUCCUUCCCUUCUUGGCACUUUCUCUGGGGAGGUUGGGAGCUGGCUUCCUCCAAAGGGACUAAAUUCAAGGGUGCAGAGGUAGAGGGGAGGCGGGCAAGGCCUCCCUCCGCCCCCCGGACCAGCCGUCCAGCCCCAGACAGCCUCCCUUCAUCUCCACGACGACCCCUCCCAGUCUGAGCUGCCAGCGAGGCGCUCUCCUGCCCCCCUCCCCCACCCGGAGAAGCUGAAGGGAGUUUGUGGAAACCCAAGUCUAACCUCCAAUGUGCCUUGCUCCAAACCCUCCCAUGGCUCCCUACUGGCCCCAGAAUAAAGCCCGGCCACCUCAGUUGGGCCACAAGCCCCCCGUGGCCUGACCUUGCUUCUUUCCCUUCAUGCCCCAGCAAUGCCCAGCUCUGCACAGCUCCCUGCCUCCAGGCAUUUGCACUUGCUGUUCCCUCUGCUCUGAACACUGUUCCCUGGAGAGGAUGAAAGCCACAGGACUCGCUCUCUCACCUCCUACAGGUCUUUGCCCAAACAUUACCUCCCCAGCAACGCCCCCGCCAGGGCCCUAUUUAAAAUUUAACCUCCCCCGUCCCGUCCUCCCCCUUUCCUCCUUGAUUUCUCCCUACAACCUUGACACCUGGGAACAGGUCACAUGUUACUGUCAUCUUGUUCUCGUCUGUUUCCCACUAGGACGCCAGCUCCCCCGGCAGGCCCCUCGGUCAGCAUCAUUUCCUGCUGCAUCCCCAGCAAGGGGGGCCCAGGGCUGUGGGCGUCCGGGCCGGACAGGCCUGCCGUGGAGCGCUGGCUCCGUCCCUCCCCGGCUUUCUCCUUUCUGGGCCUCACUUUUCUCAUCUGAAAAAUGGGAGAAAAAACAGGAUUGGAGCAAGGGCGAAAUACAAUCCUUCUUGCCUCACGCGUCAAGAGCCUACAUGUGUGUAGAGACCAAAGGAAAAGGAAGAGAAAGAGGCAAAAAAACUCAUCAUUCUUCAUUUUGGGGAAGCAGGUGACUCCAUUCUGUCUGUCCACACCAUGGACUAGUACACAGCUGUUAAAAAGAACGGCUCACAGUUUUCUCUGGUGCCCUGUGUGAGAAAAAUCUUUUCUGUUUGCCUGUUUUUAAACAUUCUUAAUCACACAGGUAUUUUUUUCCUUAGGGUUUAUUUUUAACUCAAAAAAACUAGGUAAAAUAUUGCGUAUAUGGUGUUCCACUUUUAUUUUAAAAAAGAGGAGGAACAUAUACAUUCCUAUCUUUUUUUUUUUUUUUUAAAGAUUUUAUUUUUCCUUUUUCUCCCCAACGCCCCCCGGUACAUAGUUGUGUAUUCUUCAUUGUGGGUCCUUCUAGUUGUAGCAUGUGGGACGCGGCCUCAGCGUGGUCUGAUGAGCAGUGCCAUGUCCGCGCCCAGGAUUCGAACCAACGAAACACUGGGCCGCCUGCAGCGGAGCGCGCGAAAUUAACCACUCGGCCACGGGGCCAGCCCCUACAUUCCUAUCUUUUAUAGUUUCAAAAAUUGAGAUGAAAUUCACAAAACAUAAAAUCACUUUAAUCAUUAAUUAGUGAACCAUUUUAAAGUGCACAAUUCAGUGACAUUUGUUACAUUCACCGCGUUGUGCGACUGUUACCUCCACGUCGUUCCAGAACAUUUCCGUCACCCCAAAGGGGCCCGGCGCCCGUUAAACCCGUCAGUCCUCACGCCUCCUCCAGCCCCGGCAGCCACGGCUCAGCCUCGUCUCUGCGGGUUUGUCUGCUCCGGACUGUUCGCGUAAACGGAGUCACACGACAUAGGACCUUUGGUGUCUGGCUUCUUUCCAUCUGCACUGCUUUGAGGUGCACGUGGUGGGCGUGGGGACCUCGUUCCUUGUUAUGGCCGAAUACCGCCCCAUUGCGUGGCCGGCGUGCGUUACGUUUAUCCGCUGACCCAUUGCUGCACAUGGAUGCUGUUUUCACCUUUGGGCGAUCGGGAAUAGCGCUGUCGUGAACGCCCGAGGACGAGUGGGAAAGCCAGACGCUGAAGGCUGUCCCGUGGGAUGCUGGCUCGUAAAAGGAAUGACAGAUAAAGAAACCCCUCAUCCAGGCAUCAUCUGCGUCGGAUUUUCACGCUGACAGACAACAAGGAAGAACCCACUCUCAGUGCCAACGUGGGGAGAGAGAAGGAAAAGCGAAGAAGGGCCAGAUGCGAAACCAAAACAGUGCACAAAAUGAUUCCACGUGGGCCUGUGUGACAAGUGACAGUCUGAGUCACUGUGGAUGGAGAUGUGAAAAGAAAUCCCCCCAAACAAACAAGAAAAAUCCAAAACUGAUCUCUGCGAGAAGGGCUGGACAGCGCCUGGUCCAAUGGAGAAACUGAGGUUGGAAGAGAGGCGGGAAUUCCCAGGGGAACUAUUUCAACCACCCAGGACGUCACAGAAGAUGGUAUCAUGAGCCCCAGGUCCCCAUCACCUGGCUUUGUCAAAUUUCACAUUUUGCCGUGUUUAUUUCUGAUGGGAUAACAGUCAGGAUCUGGCAGGAAACACCCCUUUCGAACGGAGUAGCUGGAGGAGAGCUUCAAAGAGCCCAUUGCAAAGGUGUGGGCAGGGUUACGGGAACCAACGGGGACAGACGCAGAGCGGGGCUGGCCCCAGUGGACCGCUGAUGUUUGCAGGGUGGGGGUGCAUGGGGAGGCCCCUGGCAGGAGCCGAGACCGGUGACGAAGGACGGCUCCAGCCCCGGACGCAGCAGGGAGGAGCUGUCCCUGGUCUGCCCUCCCGUCUCUGGCGGCACCUCCACUCAGUGAACUGACGGAAAGCUCCACACAGGACCCCCUGGGCAGCGCUCCCGCCUGGAACAGAAGCUUGGAGGAUGCUUGAGAUCCCGUAGCCUUGGAACUACAGACUUGCUCCCGCCAGGACAAAGGAGUCACCCACCCCCCAGCUCUCAGCGCACCAACCCCUGCGAUUCUAAAAUUCGAACGCACAGGAGGCCCACUGGACCAAGUCACGCGCUCGCUCAGUGAAUACCUGUGGAGCAUCCGUUAGGCACCAGGCACGGGGGGGACACAGUGAGCAACAUGGACAACCUUUCUGCCUUUGGCACUUGUGUUUUAGCAGGGGAGACGGUCAAGAACCAAAUGAUAGAAGAUGCAGUGUGUCAGCUUUAUUGAGGUACAACAGACACGGCACGUGUUCUAGUGUGCACUUUGGUGAGUUUUGACACAUGGAUGCGCUCAUGAAGCCACCAGCACAACCAAGACUGUGAGCAUACCCAUCACUUUCCACUCCCGAGGUUUCCCUGUGUCCUUUUGUCGCCGCCCUUCCCGCCCGGCCUCCUCCAUGCUCUCUAUUGCUGUAACUCAGUCUACGUUUUCCAGAAGUUUCUCCAAGUGGAAUCAUAUAGCACGUCCUCCCUUGUCCGCUUCUUUCCCUUGGCGCGAGGAUUUCGAGAUUCAUCCUGUCAUCACGCCCGUUAUCUUCUCAGGCGUCCGCCCCCUCCCAGCAGGCCGUGAGCUCCGUGUGGCAAGGACUUUGCCUUAUUCGUCUCCGUGUCCCCAGCACCCCGCACAAGGCUGCGCACACAGGAAGCGCCUAAUAGAUGCCUGACUGGCGGGAGGGUGGAGACGAGCCCGUGUGGGGGACGGGCAGGCUGCAGCCUCGUGGCAGCGAGGAGCCCGAAGACUGGCUGGGACAACGGCCCCUGGACGCUCCGGAGGCCCCGUGGCCCCAUCAGAUGAGCAUAUCCGCUCAUCCCGGUGGCUGUCUCUGGGGGUCAGAGACCUGAACUGCACAAGGGUUGGGCUUGGGCUGAGGACGCGCUUAGUGGCCCCUUUAUCUGGCGUGGGCAUCCGGCCCUGUGUUCUGGAACGGCACAGCUUGCACGCCCAGUGGGCCACGCGGCCUGGGCCCGGGCAUGGCAGGAAGGGAGCUGGCGCCCCCCCACCCCCCCAAACCAGUCCGACUCCUCUGGAGAGGCUGCGGGAGCUGAGCGAGCGCGGGCGGCGGGGAAAGGAGGAGGCGGAGGGAGGACCCGCUCCAUCAGCGACCGUCCCGGGGAAUUUCCAGUCCUGCCCCGGCCGGCUGGUUACACAGGCGGUUUCCAGGUCUCGGCCUCAGCCCGAAGGCUCCAUGGCCCCAAGGCCUCUGGGUCUCAUCCCCGGCUGGAAAGGCAGCUGGCCGGGCUGGGGAGGGGCGAGGGGACAGAGCUACAUCCCGAGACGGCCCGCAACCAAAGCUGAGUGAGGCAUGGGCUUCCUGCGCGAUGUUACUGCCCAUUUCCCAGAUGGAAAAACCGAGGCGAGAGCUGUGGAUUGGCUGAGGUCACACAGGGGUCGCCGGGGAGCAGGAGUGCUUAAGGCCCAGCGGUCAUCUUGCAGAGCCUCCUUCGAAGAUGACAAUGUUCUUUUGACAAAUGCUCAUUGAACCCCUACUGUGUGCCAGGCUCCAUGCUCAGCUCUGGGGAUUAAAAGAGAGUCCCGGGGCCGCCCCAUGGCGUGGUGGUGAAGUCCAGCGCCCUCUGCCUCCCUGGCCUGAGUCUCGGGUUCGGAUCCCAGACACAGACGCACACCACGCGUCAAGCUGUGCUACGGUGGCGUCCCACAUGCGAAAUAGAGGAAGAGUCACGCAGAUGUUAGCUCAGGGCUAAUCUUCCUCAAGCCAAAAAAAAAAAAAGAGGAAGAUUGGCAACAGAUGUUAGCUCAGAGCAAAUUUUCCUCACACACACAAAGCAAGAGAGUCCUGGGCAUGUAUCAUGUGUCACGUCUUACCUCCAGAUGGAAAAACUUUUGAGGGCAGGCUGUGGAACUUUGUUUUCUUGUUUGUGGAAACAACGAAUUUACACCAGGUUAGCGUUUCCCAAAUAGGGUCUGAAGGACACAGAUUCUCUGGGACAUUGAGAGCAGUGACAUGGGGAAAAGGGUUCCACGGGCCCAAGAGUUCGGGAGUUACUGUGUGUAAGAAUGGAGCGUUUGCUGCAGGACUUCUCAGAGCCUUCAAUGUCUUAACAAGCUCCGCGAGCAUCUCAGUGGAUGGGUGCUCUGAGUCACCCUCUGCGAGAUCUAAGGGAGCCUGUUUAGUGUCUUCCUGUCUUUCUGAUUCCUGGUUUGGAUGCCACUUCCUCCGAGGAGGCUUCUCCGAAGCCCCAGGUGGACCUGCGUCUGUUCCUGUGAAGGCGCCUGCCUGGAGCUCCCUUCGACCUCUUAAUAUUUUCCACCUUGAGUUGUAGCUCUGUUCCCAUCACCAGCCUGCGCGCUGCUCGAGGGAGGAGCCCACGGUGAUUCAUGUCUUGGUCCUGGUACAGGGAGCUGAAUGGGUGGAUGCAGAAGUUAAUGGGAGGAAGGGCCCUGACCUUGGAGAGGAACCCAGGCCCAGAGGGAUGCAGGCAGCUGAGAUGGGGCCACCGGGUGUCCCAACAGAAAGAGCACUCGUGUAUUCAUUUGUUCACGGCACAGCAUUUCCGCGCCUUUUCCGGAUGCCUGUGAGAAGACAAAGCCGCCUCUCAUAGCGCCGGGUGUUCGGAGCUUAAAGUCACACAGAUUUCCUUUGUAAUCUCAUCUCUGAUGCUCACCGGCUGGUUGACCUUGGGAAAAGUCCUUCACUCUCUGGGCCUCCUCUUCAUGUAUAACACAGGGAUGGCAAGAAUUCCUACCUGUUGGCUU
RNAcentral lists this long non-coding RNA (11216 nucleotides) under Equus caballus (horse). RNAcentral's name for it is "lncRNA (ENSECAG00000056672.1)". Lineage: Eukaryota; Metazoa; Chordata; Mammalia; Perissodactyla; Equidae. The record is from RNAcentral.